This 2994-nucleotide long non-coding RNA is filed under the name Ooceraea biroi (clonal raider ant). RNAcentral describes it as "uncharacterized LOC113561663". The record is from RNAcentral. Lineage: Eukaryota; Metazoa; Arthropoda; Insecta; Hymenoptera; Formicidae.
UUAAUAAAGACUCAACGUAAUGGUUAAUGAUAGUUUUAUUGGUAUCACUCGCGUACACUCGUAUAAGCUUAUGUGUGGUUCGGAGGGUUCCGAAGAACUGUCUCGUGUAACAGUAACUGAAUAACUGAACUAACAAAGGCGAAACUUCGCGCCAAGGAAGUUAAAAGUAACUAGGAGUAUAUAAAGUCUAGAUAGACAACUCAACUGAACGUGUAAUACGGUGUAGUACCAAAAGUGUAAAUAUAAUGUCACCAAAUCCCUACACUGAGGUUUCAGGUAGCGCCAUCUAUUGGAUCCGCAAAGAACUAUCCCUAGGGAAUUUUCGAGUGAGUAGCGCGCCUUCAUCGUCCGCUCUCGCAGACCGUACACAUCAGCUGUCAGCAUCCAGCCGAUCGGACAAAUAAGUGUCUUUUAUCGUUAUUAUUAACAAAAGACGAGCUAAUACAAGUAAGUAUCACGCGUAGGCAUUCAAAUAAGCUUCCAUUAAUAUGCAGGUGCGGACGCAGACGCAUCGGCCACCGCAUCGAUCCCGCAGUACUCCGGUUGCCACAAGGAACAGUCCGGAGCACGGAUUUCUCUUUAUCGCGUAAAAAUUAGGUUAUACGCAUAGCGUGACCCAACCGUCCAAGAAGAUAUUGGUUAUCAAGCUCCUCAAAGAAGGAAAAACCGCCCGGCGGUGGCGACAGACCCCCUCAAAGGUCGAAAAAGCCACGGAUUUUUAUCAUGGUGCUGCCGUCACAAGGAGCUACAACAAAAGGGUACGUUCCUCAGACGAUUUUCCAGGAGGAAACCAGCUCAUAGCGGGUCCCAUCCAGCGAAAGACCGUUAACAGUAAUCCAGUGACCCAUCUAUCACGACCGCCCUAGAGAAAGCCGCACAACGCAGCCCGUCCGUCGACCAGAUAUUAAAGAUAAGUAUUAAAUUACGAUAUAAAGCAUAAUUUCGACCAUAAUAACACAUUAUAUUUCUCAAAUGCGACACUAAUACUAACUUAACUGUAAUUGUUUCAGCUAACACCCGAUCAAACAGCGAGAGACAGGCCAACCUCCUCCUCGCUACCCUCAUAGGAAGUUCUUCAUUCCCAAAACGUUGAAAAAAAGCAAAUGCAACGAUAAAUAUGUAAUAUAACCUGUGUACGAGAUCCAACUUUAGUGUUCGGAUUUUGGCACUGAUUGCUGAUUUCGCUCGGAAGAAAACGUGCGACGUGAAAAGUGACCACUCGGUGAUCACGGCAAGGACUGGGGCGUGUGACAGGAGUUCACUAAUUCCGCGGAAUGUUUGUUUAACAAGUUUAUUGUAACACAGUCAAAUAAAAUGAACAAAAAGUCAGUCACGGAUUAUCUCGAGAGAACGCGAAUCUGCGUGAAUGUAUCGUCCGUCGAAAAUAUCGAGCGUAGAUCGUGAACGCGCGUAUCUGCUAAUGUGGAAUAACGCGACGUUGUUCCACGGAUGCACUCCGAACUCAAUCUCGAGAAAUUCGAACGAUUUAACGUGCGGCCGAACUUGAGCGAAAUAGAUGAGUACUGUCUGCGACAACGAUUCGUUAGCGAACGAGGCUGAAUCUUAUCUGGCUUUGUUCUCGAUGAGCGAUCGACAGCGACGUCUCUUGUUUGUCGCCUUCGGUGGAGAAAAAUAGGCAUACGCGAUCAAACAAGCGAUCUCUUUCGUCUCUGUCCAUCGCACGUGAUGAUUUAAGCCGUGCGAGCGAGAUCGUCGGGAUUCGCGCCCGUACGAGAUCAAUUUUCGAUCGCGAACGACGCAAAUAUUGUGAGAUCCGGAUAGCGCGCGACAAACAUCUGGUGCUCGAUUUGCCACGCAAGACUCGACGAAAUUUUAAUCGAAGUCUAAUUACAAAAAUGGUUUGACCGUGGUCCGAAUCCCGAACAAUCUGCAUAAUCAAAUAACUAUAGACAAAAUACCUUGCUACUAUUAUCAUUAAGAAAAUAAAAUAACUAUUACUAUUAUUAUACCUGUUACUAUGUUUGAGGAUGAGCGGAAUGAAUAUAGUUUUGAAGAGAAUUUUAGUAAAAUCCUAAUUUCUCACGAAAUAAUCUCAGUCCUUCGCAAGGACUCAGUACAUACGGUAUUUGUCUGAGCAGGGGAAAAUAUUUUUCUCUAAUGUUCGGCAAACAUCGGUCGAAGCGGCUCGCGUUGCCAUAUAUGGGCAUGUCGAAUCGUCGUUCGAGCAACUCGGGCGAAUAACAAGAUAGUUUUGAAGACAAAAUGAGGAAAAUACUGCGGCGAAACCGAGUCGGUCGUCUCACGAUUCUAGUCUAAGAAAGUCUUCUUCUCUAGCUCGUAAUUUUCUCUUUGUUCGGUUCACCUCGCGAGUGCCGUGUAACCGAGUCUCAUUCGAAUGACCAUUCGACGCCUGGUUUUACUAAAUCGGGUUCUCUGCGUUAACCAAUAUUAAACUUGUAAGGAACUGAAGUUCCAGUCCUAAUCUGUGACGAUCGGUCUGAGAGUUCCCACGUUACUAUACGCGUCAGGAUAUCCGCCUGACGUACGGAUGAGAAUACACGCGACAAGAUUUCCGCCUGACUCCCGUCAGAGAUUAAUCGCGGCAAGAUCUCCGCCUGUUCAGGUCUGAGUACACCCAUCUGAAGCUCUCUUUAACUGCGCUGAGUCGACCACGUCACCCGUUAGAAGCUCUCGUCCGUGACCUAAUUUCGUUGAGACGAUAAAUACAUUUUCAAUUUUUUUGUGUGUUGUGUCUAAUCCUGCCGUCAAAUCCCUAUCGAAGACUUCCGAGUCUCGUGUGCACGAUUCUCGCGCUCAGCGCUGGGCGUAGUCAGUGAAUCUCGAACAUACUAUAAUCAAUAUUGCGACAAUACUAUUACAAUCAUUAUUAAAACCAAAUCCAAUUGCAUAAAACUGAGAAGAACUUCCGCCGUUAAAAUAAUCCUCUUCUGAAUAUUUCAGAUAACCGAAACAAGACCCGCAAAGCCUCCAUCUCAACUUCCAUAAAGGGAAGGAGAACAAAGAAGGAAAAAA